Molecule: ribosomal RNA, 574 nt
Filed under: uncultured fungus
Lineage: Eukaryota; Fungi
Description: eukaryotic LSU rRNA
Rfam family: 5.8S ribosomal RNA (bases 211-364)
Source: RNAcentral
UUCUUGGUCAUUUAGAGGAAGUAAAAGUCGUAACAAGGUUUCCGUAGGUGAACCUGCGGAAGGAUCAUUACAGAAGGUAAACGCGGAUCAAACCGCGAACUUCUAAACCUUUGACGAUCGACUCAUGUUGCCUCGGCGGGUGCUCCCGCCAGAGGAUACAUCAAAACUCAUGUUUUAACGGUGUUGUCUGAGCUACAAGCAACGAAUCAAAACUUUCAACAACGGAUCUCUUGGUUCUGGCAUCGAUGAAGAACGCAGCGAAAUGCGAUAAGUAGUGUGAAUUGCAGAAUUCAGUGAAUCAUCGAAUCUUUGAACGCACAUUGCGCCCCUUGGUAUCCCGAGGGGCAUGCCUGUUCGAGCGUCAUUUCACCACUCAAGCCUGGCUUGGUGUUGGGCGACGUCCCCUUUGGGGACGCGCCUCGAAACGCUCGGCGGCGUGGCACCGGCUUUAAGCGUAGCAGAAUCUUUCGCUUUGAAAGUCGGGGCCCCGUCUGCCGGAAGACCUACUCGCAAGGUUGACCUCGGAUCAGGCAGGGAUACCCGCUGAACUUAAGCAUAUCAAUAAGCGGAGGAA